AACGAACGCUGGCGGCAUGCCUAACACAUGCGAGUCGAACGAUUGCCUUCGGGUGAUAGUGGCGCACGGGUGCGUAACGCGUGGGAAUCUGCCCUUAGGUUCGGAAUAACAGCUGGAAACGGCUGCUAAUACCGGAUGAUAUCGCGAGAUCAAAGAUUUAUCGCCUGAGGAUGAGCCCGCGUUGGAUUAGGUAGUUGGUGGGGUAAAGGCCUACCAAGCCGACGAUCCAUAGCUGGUCUGAGAGGAUGAUCAGCCACACUGGGACUGAGACACGGUCCAGACUCCUACGGGAGGCAGCAGUGGGGAAUAUUGGACAAUGGGCGCAAGCCUGAUCCAGCAAUGCCGCGUGAGUGAUGAAGGCCCUAGGGUUGUAAAGCUCUUUUACCCGGGAAGAUAAUGACUGUACCGGGAGAAUAAGCCCCGGCUAACUCCGUG
Molecule: ribosomal RNA, 435 nt
Filed under: uncultured bacterium
Lineage: Bacteria
Description: partial 16S ribosomal RNA
Rfam family: Bacterial small subunit ribosomal RNA
Source: RNAcentral